Molecule: ribosomal RNA, 718 nt
Filed under: Micrococcaceae bacterium
Lineage: Bacteria; Bacillati; Actinomycetota; Actinomycetes; Micrococcales; Micrococcaceae
Description: bacterial SSU rRNA
Rfam family: Bacterial small subunit ribosomal RNA
Source: RNAcentral
GUGGCGAACGGGUGAGUAACACGUGAGUAACCUGCCCUUAACUCUGGGAUAAGCCUGGGAAACUGGGUCUAAUACCGGAUAUGACUCCUCAUCGCAUGGUGGGGGGUGGAAAGCUUUUGUGGUUUUGGAUGGACUCGCGGCCUAUCAGCUUGUUGGUGAGGUAAUGGCUCACCAAGGCGACGACGGGUAGCCGGCCUGAGAGGGUGACCGGCCACACUGGGACUGAGACACGGCCCAGACUCCUACGGGAGGCAGCAGUGGGGAAUAUUGCACAAUGGGCGGAAGCCUGAUGCAGCGACGCCGCGUGAGGGAUGACGGCCUUCGGGUUGUAAACCUCUUUCAGUAGGGAAGAAGCGAAAGUGACGGUACCUGCAGAAGAAGCGCCGGCUAACUACGUGCCAGCAGCCGCGGUAAUACGUAGGGCGCAAGCGUUAUCCGGAAUUAUUGGGCGUAAAGAGCUCGUAGGCGGUUUGUCGCGUCUGCCGUGAAAGUCCGGGGCUCAACUCCGGAUCUGCGGUGGGUACGGGCAGACUAGAGUGAUGUAGGGGAGACUGGAAUUCCUGGUGUAGCGGUGAAAUGCGCAGAUAUCAGGAGGAACACCGAUGGCGAAGGCAGGUCUCUGGGCAUUAACUGACGCUGAGGAGCGAAAGCAUGGGGAGCGAACAGGAUUAGAUACCCUGGUAGUCCAUGCCGUAAACGUUGGGCACUAGGUGUGGGG